UACGGGAGGCAGCAGUGGGGAAUAUUGCACAAUGGGCGCAAGCCUGAUGCAGCCAUGCCGCGUGUAUGAAGAAGGCCUUCGGGUUGUAAAGUACUUUCAGUCGUGAGGAAGGUGUUAAGGUUAAUAACCUUAGCAAUUGACGUUAGCGACAGAAGAAGCACCGGCUAACUCCGUGCCAGCAGCCGCGGUAAUACGGAGGGUGCGAGCGUUAAUCGGAAUUACUGGGCGUAAAGGGCACGCAGGCGGUUAAUUAAGUUGGAUGUGAAAUCCCCGGGCUUAACCUGGGAAUGGCAUUCAAGACUGGUUAGCUAGAGUCUUGUAGAGGGGGUAGAAUUCCGAUGUGUAGCGGUGAAAUGCGUAGAGAUGUGGAGGAAUACCGGUGGCGAAGGCGGCCCCUGGACAAGACUGACGCUCAUGUGCGAAAGCGUGGGGAGCGAAACAGGAUUAGAUACC
RNAcentral lists this ribosomal RNA (453 nucleotides) under uncultured bacterium. RNAcentral's name for it is "bacterial SSU rRNA". It matches the Rfam family "Bacterial small subunit ribosomal RNA", at positions 340 to 786 of the family's 1533-position model. The record is from RNAcentral.